AGAAUCAACGCUGGCGGCGUGCCUAACACAUGCAAGUCGAACGAGAAAGUGGAGCAAUCCAUGAGUAAAGUGGCGCACGGGUGAGUAACACGUGACUAACCUACCCUUGAGUGGGGGAUAACCUAGGGAAACCUGGGCUAAUACCGCAUAAUACCUUCGGGUCAAAGGAGCAAUUCGCUUAAGGAGGGGUCGCGGCCGAUUAGUUAGUUGGCGGGGUAAUGGCCCACCAAGACUGUGAUCGGUAU
Molecule: ribosomal RNA, 245 nt
Filed under: uncultured bacterium
Lineage: Bacteria
Description: partial small subunit ribosomal RNA
Rfam family: Bacterial small subunit ribosomal RNA
Source: RNAcentral